Molecule: long non-coding RNA, 1060 nt
Organism: Seriola dumerili (greater amberjack)
Lineage: Eukaryota; Metazoa; Chordata; Actinopteri; Carangiformes; Carangidae
Exons: 4
Source: RefSeq, a predicted model, not a curated record
CAGGACUCUAUAGAUGUGAUGUAAGUGGUGUAAAUGGCACCAGGAUUGCUACCUGGAAUUUAACUGUGUCUGAGAAACCUGAAGAAACGACUGAUUUCCACUCGCGGUAUCUUCUAUACAUACUCACAACUGUAACUGGAUUGCUCCUGUGUGGCAUCACUUCAGCUGUCUGCCUCUGCAGAGAAUGCUGCACCAGGAAAAGAAACAAUAUGACAGCAGGACCCUGAGUUAUACCCAGUAUUGUGUUCAGUUGGGAGAAAAGGUGGCUCCUCCUCUCCCAAGAAGUUGUGCAGAAUACAGACUAAUCACAAACAGACGCAGUCAGCCCUUUGAGAGUUAAAUGCAUGGCCUCCACUGAGCUGACAAAUAAGUUCAGAUCAAAGCUGAACAAGUGACAAGAGAUAUUUUGGACAGAAAGUAAAAGAGAGAGGACAUAUUUAAAAAUAAAUGAAACCAGCCCAUAGAAUGAUAUAACAAAUAAAUAAAUACAUACAUGUUUUUUGUUAUCAAAAUAACACGAGGUAAUGUUUCAAUUUUAAUUUCUUGGAAGCAGAAACCUCAUAUCAGCUUCCUGUACAUGGUUGGGUGUAUGUCCAUAACCUGCAUGUAAAAUACAUUUAAUCUUGAAAAGUUUAAACAAAUGCUGUUUUGUUGGUGUUUUUCUCUUUCAUUUUUUUUGCGUUGCUUUGUUUUGCUUUAACCUUUUGCUUUUUGUGCAGGUAAAACAUCUAGUAUCUGAAGUCACACUUUAUAGGUCUGUUAUGAUAAAGGCUUGGUUAAGUUUAUUGAUAAAUGCAUAAAAUAUUUGAUGUAAUAACCCGAUUAGAGGUUUGUUAAUCUGUGGGGUCACAACUUUUAUUUACAGCUUCCCGAAUGAUCCAUGUUGUACAACUCUACUUCAUGAUUUUAUCUUUUUUGCAUUAGUUUUUCUUGAUCUUUUCUCCCUCUUGACAUGUGGGUCAGUGCUGAAUAACUCAAAAGGUAUUUCAAAAACAAACAUCUUGGGUUAAUUGUGAUGAUAUACAAUCAAACCCAGUCUAAUAUGAUCAUUUCCUUUUAU